This 220-nucleotide long non-coding RNA is filed under the name Vigna radiata. RNAcentral's name for it is "long non-coding RNA (VRAD_LNC013269)". The record is from RNAcentral. Lineage: Eukaryota; Viridiplantae; Streptophyta; Magnoliopsida; Fabales; Fabaceae.
CAAAUUUGUAUCAGACCAAAAUCACUUUACUUAAUUACAUCAAAUUAUCCUAAUUUCAAUUUUUAUUUUAACCCUAAUUUUAUUAAAUUCCACAUCACAACUAAUAAUUUUUUUUAAUACCCCUAAUUCAUUUUUUUAUUUUACCCUAACUAUAUUCAUUUACACGUCAUCUUUAAUUAUUUUUUAAAACAACUUACAAUGCCACAUCAUCAAACAUUAC